This 269-nucleotide ribosomal RNA is filed under the name uncultured bacterium. RNAcentral's name for it is "partial 16S ribosomal RNA". It matches the Rfam family "Bacterial small subunit ribosomal RNA", at positions 15 to 278 of the family's 1533-position model. The record is from RNAcentral.
GAUCCUGGCUCAGGAUGAACGCUAGCGACAGGCUUAACACAUGCAAGUCGAGGGGCAGCGGGGGAGUAGCAAUACUUCGCCGGCGACCGGCGCACGGGUGAGUAACACGUGUGCAACCAACCCCGUACCGGGAGAUAACCCGCGGAAACGUGGACUAACAUCCCAUAAGACUCUAGAGCCGCAUGGCUUUGGAUUUAAAAUUCCGGUGGUACGGGACGGGCACGCGCGACAUUAGGUAGUUGGCGGGGUAACGGCCCACCAAGCCGACG